GGCGCAGGCGGGAAAGUAAGUCAGACGUGAAAUUCCGGGGCUCAACCUCGGAGCUGCAUUUGAAACUACUUUUCUUGAGGAUAGGCGGAGAAAACGGAAUUCCACAAGUAGCGGUGAAAUGCGUAGAUAUGUGGAAGAACACCCGUGGCGAAGGCGGUUUUCUAGCUUAUUCCUGGCGCUGAGGCCCGAAAGCUAGGGGAGCGAACA
RNAcentral lists this ribosomal RNA (207 nucleotides) under uncultured bacterium. Its description in RNAcentral is "partial 16S ribosomal RNA". It matches the Rfam family "Bacterial small subunit ribosomal RNA", at positions 568 to 774 of the family's 1533-position model. The record is from RNAcentral.